Non-coding RNA from Acanthosepion pharaonis, 88 nucleotides. Lineage: Eukaryota; Metazoa; Mollusca; Cephalopoda; Sepiida; Sepiidae. The record is from the annotation of a GenBank genome assembly.
CUUGAAACACCGGUUCCCGUACGAUCAUCGAAGUUAAGCAACGUCGAGUACCUAGAUGGGUGACUGCUUGGGAAUAUCAGGUUCUGUC